UUCAGGUCUGUGGUUGAAAGUCGAUGCCAGUUGCAGGCGAAACGAUCCACGUAAGCAAUGGAAUUCAUUGUGAGCACGGUGCAGCUUAGAAGUAAGUCCUGCCGUCAGAGACGAGAGAAGUAGUAGUGGGGAGCGCAAGGCUUAGGAGCGAACCUUCCAGCAGGCGGGUGUGGGGGCGAAAACCAGGUCAGCUGAA
This 196-nucleotide non-coding RNA is filed under the name uncultured Acidaminococcus sp. RNAcentral's name for it is "raiA RNA". It matches the Rfam family "raiA RNA". Lineage: Bacteria; Bacillati; Bacillota; Negativicutes; Acidaminococcales; Acidaminococcaceae. The record is from RNAcentral.